AACCUCCGCAAUGUGAGAAAUCGCGACGGGGGGAUCCCAAGUGCCAUUCUUAACGGGAUGGCUUUUCAUUAGUGUAAAGAGCUUUUGGAAUAAGAGCUGGGCAAGACCGGUGCCAGCCGCCGCGGUAACACCGGCAGCUCUAGUGGUAACAAUUUUUAUUGGGCCUAAAGCGUCCGUAGCCGGUUUAAUAAGUCUCUGGUGAAAUCCUGCAGCUUAACUGUGGGAAUUGCUGGAGAUACUAUUAGACUUGAGACCGGGAGAGGUUAGAGGUACUCCCAGGGUAGAGGUGAAAUUCUGUAAUCCUGGGAGGACCGCCUGUUGCGAAGGCGUCUAACUGGAACGGUUCUGACGGUGAGGGACGAAAGUUAGGGGCGCGAACCGGAUUUAGAUACCCGGGUAGUCCUAACUGUAAACGAUGCGGACUUGGUGUUGGGUGGUCUUUGAGCUGCUUCAGUGCCGAAGGGAAGCUGUUAAGUCCGCCGCCUGGGAAGUACGGUCGCAAGACUGAAACUUAAGGAAUU
This 521-nucleotide ribosomal RNA is filed under the name uncultured bacterium. Its description in RNAcentral is "bacterial SSU rRNA". It matches the Rfam family "Archaeal small subunit ribosomal RNA", at positions 345 to 866 of the family's 1478-position model. The record is from RNAcentral.